This 301-nucleotide ribosomal RNA is filed under the name uncultured bacterium. RNAcentral's name for it is "partial 16S ribosomal RNA". It matches the Rfam family "Bacterial small subunit ribosomal RNA", at positions 509 to 807 of the family's 1533-position model. The record is from RNAcentral.
CAGCAGCCACGGGAAUACCGAGGGUGCGAGCGUUAAUCGGAUUUACUGGGCGUAAAGCGUGUGUAGGUUGUUGUUCAAGUCAGUUGUGAAAUCCCUGGGCUCAACCUGGGAACUGCUUCUGAGACUGAACGACUAGAGUACGGUAGAGGGUGGUGGAAUUUCCAGUGUAGCGGUGAAAUGCGUAGAUAUCGGAAGGAACAUCAAUGGCGAAGGCAGCCACCUGGGCCUGUACUGACACUGAGACACGAAAGCGUGGGGAUCAAACAGGAUUAGAUACCCGUGUAGUCCCUGUCUCUUAUAC